CAGGGAGACAAAAACUGAUUGUGAUGUCUAAGUGAUUUAUUCUUAGACCAUAAUCCUGUCACCUUAGGUCGAUCGGUACCUCAAGUUGAUUGCAAUAAGUCUGUUAUAUCAGUCUUUCGAAUCGAUUUCAGUUCCUAAACUUGUCUAGGUCACACCCAACGAGGGUACUCCUGGGCCAUUAGCUCAGGUGGUUAGAGCGCACCCCUGAUAAGGGUGAGGUCCCUGGUUCAAGUCCAGGAUGGCCCAUUCGGUGUUGGGGGUAUAGCUCAGUUGGUAGAGCGCCUGCUUUGCAAGCAGGAUGUCAGCGGUUCGAGUCCGCUUACCUCCACUGAUCGACCUUCUAAUGGCGAAUUGAAGGGAGAUCUUCGUUGUUAUGGUUAUUGAUCUAGACUAGGUUUACAUGAUUGAACUCAGCUUCUUGUCAACGUCGUCUAUCUAGAUGAUGUUCAGUUGAUAAGACGCUGAGCUCACUGCAAAAUUUAUUUUGCAGAGAUCUUCAGUAGAACCUUGACAACUGCAUAGGUGAGUCUGGAAAGAAUAAAGCAUCUCAUGGAUGUAUUUUCCUUUUGAAAAGCCAUAGAUUUGGUUUUUUGAUAAUAGGUUAAAUACUUAAUUCUUGAGAAAAAAAGAAGCCAAUACUCUAUAAAUAAAUUCAAUUUCAUAUAAGAAAUUGAUUCAUAUUUCUAUAGAGUUUAU
RNAcentral lists this transfer RNA (696 nucleotides) under uncultured cyanobacterium. Its description in RNAcentral is "partial 16S-23S ribosomal RNA intergenic spacer". The stretch from base 256 to 328 matches the Rfam family "tRNA". Lineage: Bacteria; Bacillati; Cyanobacteriota. The record is from RNAcentral.